GCAAACUUGGUCAUUUAGAGGAAGUAAAAGUCGUAACAAGGUCUCCGUUGGUGAACCAGCGGAGGGAUCAUUAUCGAGUUACAGAACUCCCAAAACCAUGUGAACCCUACCAUCGUUGCUUCGGCGGUCUCGUCCCGGGUGCACCUCUCUCCAGGUGUGGUCCGGAUCCAGACGUCCGCCGAGGGACCUCAACUCUUGUAUUUUUCAGUGGAAUUCUGAGUGGCAUAAGCAAAAUAAUCAAAACUUUCAACAACGGAUCUCUUGGUUCUGGCAUCGAUGAAGAACGCAGC
This 290-nucleotide unclassified non-coding RNA is filed under the name uncultured fungus. RNAcentral describes it as "partial contains small subunit ribosomal RNA, internal transcribed spacer 1, and 5.8S ribosomal RNA". The stretch from base 1 to 73 matches the Rfam family "Eukaryotic small subunit ribosomal RNA", at positions 1759 to 1831 of the family's 1831-position model. The record is from RNAcentral. Lineage: Eukaryota; Fungi.